RNAcentral lists this ribosomal RNA (556 nucleotides) under Cortinarius sp. LM2977. RNAcentral describes it as "eukaryotic LSU rRNA". The stretch from base 168 to 321 matches the Rfam family "5.8S ribosomal RNA". Lineage: Eukaryota; Fungi; Basidiomycota; Agaricomycetes; Agaricales; Cortinariaceae. The record is from RNAcentral.
CAUUAUUGAAAUAAACCUGAUGGGUUGUUGCUGGUUCUCUAGGGAGCAUGUGCACGCCUUGUCAUCUUUAUAUCUCCACCUGUGCACUUUUGUAGACCUUCUGGGUCUAUGUUGCUUCAUUUACCCCAAUGUAUGUUAAUAGAAUGUUGUGCCUUUAUAAUAUAUACAACUUUCAGCAACGGAUCUCUUGGCUCUCGCAUCGAUGAAGAACGCAGCGAAAUGCGAUAAGUAAUGUGAAUUGCAGAAUUCAGUGAAUCAUCGAAUCUUUGAACGCACCUUGCGCUCCUUGGUAUUCCGAGGAGCAUGCCUGUUUGAGUGUCAUUAAUAUAUCAAUCUUCUCUUCUUGAGUGGUUUGGAUGUGGGGGUUUGCUGGCCUCUUAAAGAGGUUUCAGCUCCUCUGAAAUGCAUUAGCAGAACGACCUGUUCAUUGGCGUGAUAACUAUCUACGCUAUUGAAUGUAAGGGGCAGUUCAGCUUUCUAACAGUCUUUGGACAAUUUAUCAUUAAUGUGACCUCAAAUCAGGUAGGACUACCCGCUGAACUUAAGCAUAUCAAUA